GUGCAAGGUCCCAUGGAAACCCUGGAGAGGAGAAGACUCAGGGCGAUCUCAUCAAUGUAUAUAAGUAUCUGAAGGGAGGGUGUAAAGAAGAUGGACUCAACUCAGGCUCUUUUCAGUAGUCCCCAGUGACAGGACAAGAGCCAAGUGUCCACCGAGCCAGUUUGAAUGGCUGAAGAGUUCCAGUGUGUCUACCUGUUACUCAUAGGAAAACACCUCCAGAUCUCUGAUGAAGCUUUCUACCUUUUCCUGAACCUUUUCUAGUCUUACGUUGACCUUUAUAAAAUGUGCGGACACCCCAAUGAGUUCUACAACUGAGUAACUGUGUUUUGUGUUUUGUUCUCCAUCCCUUUCCGACUAACUCCUGAUCUGUGGAGUCCUUCAGACAAUCAGCAGAGACAAGACCUGAGUUGCCAAUUGUCCAAAAAAAAAGAAGUGAGCAUCAGCGAACCUUUGACUACUGAUUUCUCAAAGAUCAACCCCGAUACUCAUCCAGUCUCUCCUCCUUAAUACGGCAGAGAUAUCUUCUUUCUCCCUGUCAUUCUGGUGGUGCUCUUUUAUCUCUGGAUGUAACCCUAUCAGAUCCUGCAGCACUUCCAGGAGAUAACUUCCCUGAUCAGGAUGUGAAUAACAACUUGUGCGUAAGUCAAUGACAUCAUGACCUGCUUAAGCCUUGAAGAGAUUCCAUGAGUCCUGCUGGGCAAAUGCCUCUAUCAGCAGCCACCACCCACUACUAGGUAUGGCCAGAAGAUACAUUGCCUUCCUGCAUAGCUCAGGAAAUAUAACAGCCGCUCACCCAUCACCACCCUUUGCAGAUAUGACGUACUCAGGCAAUAUCCUCUGGCUCAAGGAUGCACCAAGUACAAAAUGCCUUCCCUUUGACCCUUUACUCCUACUGUCUACGUCUGCAUCUAAAUUGGGAAUGAACUUCCUGGUCCCCAAACUGGAUGAGAGUAGGUCAGAGCCCCCUGGGUGGUCCAUGUGCAAGAUUAAAUUAUAUCAAAUUUGGUAUACGUCUGGGGCCUCGUUUUGUUAUGAAAACAGACCUCGGGCAGUUGUUUAUGUACAUCCCAGGCAUUGCCCUCAGGUUUAAGAACGGCUUACGCUCUGUGGCUAUGCUGAUCUGCUCUGACCUCAUCUACCACACUGGAGAAAAGCAGCCUUGAGCCCUAAGGGCAGAAGCAAAUCAGAUGCCAGACACACAGGCAGUGAGUCAGAGAGCAGUGGGAUGGCACAGGCUUAGCGAUCAAGCAGUCCUGCUAAACAGUAUUUUGACCUGGUGCUAGACUCAUGGUUUAACAAGUGUGCUGGAGAUCUAAAUAAGGCCAGUGCUUGGCCUUAAGCACUGCCCAGUGCUCCUCCACACUGCUUCAGUGUGCCAAUUCCUGCCCUUCCAGGCAAUGUCCAGACACAGUUCAGAGGAUAGCAGGGGGCAGGAACCAUUCCCAAGAGGUGAUUUGGACAUAACGAAUCUAUUUCUGCUGAGGCAGCGGGGAGGUUUUUAGCACCAUGACAGAUGUGCCCUACCAGAUGGCCUUAGUCCCAUCAAGCAGGACAGACCAGUUGUAUUUGCUUUUGGCAUUAUAACUCUCCCUGCAGAGGACUUGGUGUUUCCCAUCACCUCUUUCGGUGGGAAAGAUUUUCAGGGGUGGAAGAGAUUUGGGGAGGGGAAUAUAAUGUGCAUUUGCCAUGUCCUUACUCCUCACUGGGUAUCUGUUCAUGGACAGUAUUGGAGGAUGCCCAGUCUGAGCCGGCACCGUUGUUCUCAAGGAGGUAGCUGCAAUCAAAUUGCUUUGAAGCCUAUCCUGGUUUCGGCUGAAAUAAAGUUAAUUUUCUCCUUA
Long non-coding RNA from Aquila chrysaetos chrysaetos, 1838 nucleotides. RefSeq lists it as uncharacterized. The transcript is spliced from 2 exons. NCBI's taxonomy places the organism in Eukaryota, Metazoa, Chordata, Aves, Accipitriformes, Accipitridae. The record is from RefSeq and is a predicted model, not a curated record.